This 71-nucleotide transfer RNA is filed under the name Hippoglossus stenolepis (Pacific halibut). Its description in RNAcentral is "tRNA-His". It matches the Rfam family "tRNA". From Rfam's summary of the family: Transfer RNA (tRNA) molecules are approximately 80 nucleotides in length. Their secondary structure includes four short double-helical elements and three loops (D, anti-codon, and T loops). Lineage: Eukaryota; Metazoa; Chordata; Actinopteri; Pleuronectiformes; Pleuronectidae. The record is from RNAcentral.
GCCGUGAUCGUAUAGAGGUUAGUACUCUGCGUUGUGGCAGCAGCAACCCCGGUUCGAAUCGGGUCACGGCA